CACAUCCGGUCUGUGUGAACUCUGACCACAUUAUAAUUUUCAUUUCCAUUUGACAGUAGUCCCUGAGAAAAAGGGAAAAUCCUCCAAGAGAAGUGUGUUUCAUCUGUGAGCAAGCCAGUGCCACGAUGACCAUCACGUUGCCUUUGUACCACAGAGCACAUGAUGCAGCCCGCUGUGCCUUUGUUGACGUGACUUUUUGCUCAACCAGUGGUCUUCAAUUCUCAGCAAGCCACUGA
This 236-nucleotide long non-coding RNA is filed under the name Fukomys damarensis (Damara mole-rat). RNAcentral describes it as "lncRNA (ENSFDAG00000021835.1)". The record is from RNAcentral. Lineage: Eukaryota; Metazoa; Chordata; Mammalia; Rodentia; Bathyergidae.